Molecule: ribosomal RNA, 484 nt
Filed under: uncultured bacterium
Lineage: Bacteria
Description: partial 16S ribosomal RNA
Rfam family: Bacterial small subunit ribosomal RNA
Source: RNAcentral
AUUGAACGCUGGCGGCAUGCUUUACACAUGCAAGUCGAACGGCCGCGCGGGCUUCGGCCUGGUCGCGCGUGACGAACGGGUGAGUAAUGCACCGGAACGUGCCCAGCCGUGGGGGAUAGCACGGCGAAAGCAGGCUUCAUACCGCACCCGACAUGAGGGUGAAACCGGGGGACCGAAAGUGCUCGCGGUAUUGGAUGUGCCGUUGUCGGAUUUGCUAGUUGGUGGGGUAAAGGCUUACCAAGGCGACGAUCCGUAGCUGAUCUGAGAGGACGACCCGCCACACUGGGACUGAGACACGGCCCAGACUCCGACGGGAGGCAGCAGUGGGGAAUUUUGGACAAUGGGGGCAACCCUGACCCAGCAAUGCCGCGUGAGGGAAGAAGGCCUUCGGGUUGUAAACCGCUUUUGUUCGGGAAGAAAUACUCUGGGCUAAUACCCCGGGGGGAUGACGGUACCGGAAGAAUAAGCACCGGCUAACUACGUG